GCACAAGCGGUGGAGCAUGUGGUUCAAUUCGACGCAACGCGAAGAACCUUACCUGGGCUCGAAGCGCAGUGGACCGGGGUGGAAACAUCCCUUCCCCUUAAAAGGCUGCUGCGGAGGUGCUGCAUGGCUGUCGUCAGCUCGUGUCGUGAGAUGUUGGGUUAAGUCCCGCAACGAGCGCAACCCUUAUCCCUAGUUGCCAUCGGGUCAAGCCGGGCACUCUAGUGAAACUGCCUCGGAUAACGAGGAGGAAGGUGGGGAUGACGUCAAGUCCUCAUGGCCUUUAUGUCCAGGGCUACACACGUGCUACAAUGGUCGGUACAAACCGUCGCAAACCCGUGAGGGGGAGCUAAUCGGAAAAAGCCGGCCUCAGUUCGGAUUGGAGUCUGCAACUCGACUCCAUGAAGCUGGAAUCGCUAGUAAUCGCGGAUCAGAACGCCGCGGUGAAUACGUUCCCGGGC
This 458-nucleotide ribosomal RNA is filed under the name uncultured bacterium. Its description in RNAcentral is "bacterial SSU rRNA". It matches the Rfam family "Bacterial small subunit ribosomal RNA", at positions 923 to 1379 of the family's 1533-position model. The record is from RNAcentral.